AGUUUAUACCGUAGCUUGCUACACCAUAGACUGUGAGUUGCGAACGGGUGAGUAACGCGUAGGUAACCUGCCUGGUAGCGGGGGAUAACUAUUGGAAACGAUAGCUAAUACCGCAUAAUAUUAAUUAUUGCAUGAUAAUUGAUUGAAAGGUGCAAUUGCACCACUACCAGAUGGACCUGCGUUGUAUUAGCUAGUAGGUGAGGUAACGGCUCACCUAGGCGACGAUACAUAGCCGACCUGAGAGGGUGAUCGGCCACACUGGGACUGAGACACGGCCCAGACUCCUACGGGAGGCAGCAGUAGGGAAUCUUCGGCAAUGGACGAAAGUCUGACCGAGCAACGCCGCGUGAGUGAAGAAGGUUUUCGGAUCGUAAAGCUCUGUUGUAAGAGAAGAACGGGUGUGAGAGUGGAAAGUUCACACUGUGACGGUAUCUUACCAGAAAGGGACGGCUAACUACGUGCCAGCAGCCGCGGUAAUACGUAGGUCCCGAGCGUUGUCCGGAUUUAUUGGGCGUAAAGCGAGCGCAGGCGGUUAGAUAAGUCUGAAGUUAAAGGCUGUGGCUUAACCAUAGUACGCUUUGGAAACUGUUUAACUUGAGUGCAGAAGGGGAGAGUGGAAUUCCAUGUGUAGCGGUGAAAUGCGUAGAUAUAUGGAGGAACACCGGUGGCGAAAGCGGCUCUCUGGUCUGUAACUGACGCUGAGGCUCGAAAGCGUGGGGAGCGAACAGGAUUAGAUACCCUGGUAGUCCACGCCGUAAACGAUGAGUGCUAGGUGUUAGGCCCUUUCCGGGGCUUAGUGCCGCAGCUAACGCAUUAAGCACU
Molecule: ribosomal RNA, 822 nt
Filed under: Streptococcus gordonii
Lineage: Bacteria; Bacillati; Bacillota; Bacilli; Lactobacillales; Streptococcaceae
Description: bacterial SSU rRNA
Rfam family: Bacterial small subunit ribosomal RNA
Source: RNAcentral